GUGACAAGAAUCACUCAGACUAGCCAAGGAGACUGCCCAUGAAACCAGAUGAAAGGUUCAUUUCUGAAUGAACCCUUACACCAGGACACAGGCAAGUCAUCCUUGGCUACCAGAGCUUAACCCUUGUCU
Oryza brachyantha (malo sina) is the source of this 129-nucleotide non-coding RNA. NCBI's taxonomy places the organism in Eukaryota, Viridiplantae, Streptophyta, Magnoliopsida, Poales, Poaceae. The record is from Rfam.